Molecule: ribosomal RNA, 387 nt
Filed under: uncultured bacterium
Lineage: Bacteria
Description: bacterial SSU rRNA
Rfam family: Bacterial small subunit ribosomal RNA
Source: RNAcentral
GACGAACGCUGGCGGCGUGCUUAACACAUGCAAGUCGAGCGGUAAGGCCCUUUCGGGGGUACACGAGCGGCGAACGGGUGAGUAACACGUGGGUGACCUGCCCUCAGCUCUGGGAUAAGCCUGGGAAACCGGGUCUAAUACUGGAUAUGACUCCAUGACGCAUGUUGUGGGGUGGAAAGCCUUGUGCGGCUGAGGAUGGGCCCGCGGCCUAUCAGCUUGUUGGUGGGGUGAGGCCUACCAAGGCGACGACGGGUAGCCGGCCUGAGAGGGCGACCGGCCACACUGUGACUGAGACACGGCCCAGACUCCUACGGGAGGCAGCAGUGGGGAAUCUUGCGCAAUGGGCGAAAGCCUGACGCAGCGACGCCGCGUGAGGGAUGACGGCCU